This 465-nucleotide ribosomal RNA is filed under the name uncultured bacterium. Its description in RNAcentral is "partial 16S ribosomal RNA". It matches the Rfam family "Bacterial small subunit ribosomal RNA", at positions 28 to 507 of the family's 1533-position model. The record is from RNAcentral.
GACGAACGCUGGCGGCGUGCUUAACACAUGCAAGUCGAACGGAAAGGCCCUGCUUGCAGGGUACUCGAGUGGCGAACAGGUGAGUAACACGUGGGUGAUCUGCCCUGCACUUCGGGAUAAGCCUGGGAAACUGGGUCUAAUACCGGAUAGGAGCCAUUUUUAGUGUGAUGGUUGGAAAGUUUUUUCGGUGUAGGAUGAGCUCGCGGCCUAUCAGCUUGUUGGUGGGGUAAUGGCCUACCAAGGCGGCGACGGGUAGCCGGCCUGAGAGGGUGGACGGCCACAUUGGGACUGAGGUACGGCCCAGACUCCUACGGGAGGCAGCAGUGGGGAAGAUUGCACAAUGGGCGCAAGCCUGAUGCAGCGACGCCGCGGGGGGGAUGACGGCCUUCGGGUUGUAAACUCCUUUCGCUAGGGACGAAGCUUUUUGUGACGGUACCUAGAUAAGAAGCACCGGCUAACUACGUG